CCUACGGGUGGCAGCAGUCGAGAAUCAUUCACAAUGGGGGAAACCCUGAUGGUGCGACGCCGCGUGGGGGAAUGAAGGUCUUCGGAUUGUAAACCCCUGUCAUGUGGGAGCAAAUUAAAACGCUAGUACCACACGAGGAAGAGACGGCUAACUCUGUGCCAGCAGCCGCGGUAAUACAGAGGUCUCAAGCGUUGUUCGGAAUCACUGGGCGUAACGCGUGCGUAGGAUGUUUCGUAAGUCGUGUGUGAAAGGCGCGGGCUCAACCCGCGAACGGCACAUGAUACUGCGAGACUAGAGUAAUGGAGGGGGAACCGGAAUUCGCGGUGUAGCAGUGAAAUGCGUAGAUAUCGAGAGGAACACUCGUGGCGAAGGCGGGUUCCUGGACAGUAACUGACGCUGAGGCACGAAGGCCAGGGGAGCGAAAGGGAUUAGAUACCCGGGUAGUC
This 446-nucleotide ribosomal RNA is filed under the name uncultured bacterium. RNAcentral's name for it is "partial 16S ribosomal RNA". It matches the Rfam family "Bacterial small subunit ribosomal RNA", at positions 338 to 795 of the family's 1533-position model. The record is from RNAcentral.